UAUUUAAAGAUAUUUAUUAAUCACCUUGACACCUUCAACGUCAUGCUCUAUACUUUAAGCUAUUUAAAC
RNAcentral lists this transfer RNA (69 nucleotides) under Uroteuthis duvaucelii. Its description in RNAcentral is "tRNA-Phe". The record is from RNAcentral. Lineage: Eukaryota; Metazoa; Mollusca; Cephalopoda; Myopsida; Loliginidae.